This 364-nucleotide ribosomal RNA is filed under the name uncultured bacterium. Its description in RNAcentral is "partial 16S ribosomal RNA". It matches the Rfam family "Bacterial small subunit ribosomal RNA", at positions 338 to 699 of the family's 1533-position model. The record is from RNAcentral.
CCUACGGGAGGCAGCAGUGAGGAAUAUUGGUCAAUGGACGCAAGUCUGAACCAGCCAUGCCGCGUGCAGGAAGACGGCUCUCUGAGUUUUAAAUUGCUUUUGUACGGGGGUAAACGCAGAUACGCGUAUCUGUCUGAAAGUAUCGUACGACUAAGGAUCGGCUAACUCCGUGCCAGCAGCCGCGGGAAUACGGAGGGUUCAAGCGUUAUCCGGAUUUAUUGGGUUUAAAGGGCGCGUAGGCGGUAGGAUAAGUUAGAGGUGAAAUCCCGGGGCUCAACUUCGGAAUUGCAUCUGAUACUGUUCGGCUAGAGAGUAGUGGAGGUAGGCGGAAUGCAUGGUGUAGCGGUGAAAUGCUUAGAGAUCA